UACGAAGGGGGCGAGCGUUGUUCGGAAUUACUGGGCGUAAAGGGCGCGCAGGCGGCCUUAGAAGUCAGAUGUGAAAGCCCCGGGCUCAACCUGGGAAUGGCAUUUGAUACUCUGAGGCUGGAGUACGGGAGAGGAGAGUGGAAUUCCCAGUGUAGAGGUGAAAUUCGUAGAUAUUGGGAAGAACACCGGUGGCGAAGGCGGCUCUCUGGACCGUAACUGACGCUGAGGCGCGAAAGCGUGGGGGAGCAAACAGG
This 254-nucleotide ribosomal RNA is filed under the name uncultured bacterium. Its description in RNAcentral is "partial 16S ribosomal RNA". It matches the Rfam family "Bacterial small subunit ribosomal RNA", at positions 524 to 776 of the family's 1533-position model. The record is from RNAcentral.